UGGGGAAUAUUGGACAAUGGGCGCAAGCCUGAUCCAGCCAUGCCGCGUGAGUGAUGAAGGCCCUAGGGUUGUAAAGCUCUUUCACCGAUGAAGAUAAUGACGGUAGUCGGAGAAGAAGCCCCGGCUAACUUCGUGCCAGCAGCCGCGGUAAUACGAAGGGGGCUAGCGUUGUUCGGAAUUACUGGGCGUAAAGCGCACGUAGGCGGAUAUUUAAGUCAGGGGUGAAAUCCCAGAGCUCAACUCUGGAACUGCCUUUGAUACUGGGUAUCUUGAGUAUGGAAGAGGUAAGUGGAAUUCCGAGUGUAGAGGUGAAAUUCGUAGAUAUUCGGAGGAACACCAGUGGCGAAGGCGGCUUACUGGUCCAUUACUGACGCUGAGGUGCGAAAGCGUGGGGAGCAAACA
This 402-nucleotide ribosomal RNA is filed under the name uncultured Rhizobiaceae bacterium. RNAcentral describes it as "bacterial SSU rRNA". It matches the Rfam family "Bacterial small subunit ribosomal RNA", at positions 355 to 774 of the family's 1533-position model. The record is from RNAcentral. Lineage: Bacteria; Pseudomonadati; Pseudomonadota; Alphaproteobacteria; Hyphomicrobiales; Rhizobiaceae.